This 243-nucleotide unclassified non-coding RNA is filed under the name uncultured fungus. Its description in RNAcentral is "sequence contains ITS1, 5.8S rRNA gene". The stretch from base 195 to 243 matches the Rfam family "5.8S ribosomal RNA", at positions 1 to 49 of the family's 154-position model. Lineage: Eukaryota; Fungi. The record is from RNAcentral.
UUUCCGUAGGUGAACCUGCGGAAGGAUCAUUCACAGAGCGAGUGGGCCCGUCCCCUCCUCCAUCCCAUGCGUACCUUCUAGUCUCUGCCUCGGCCGGCGUCCCCGCUUCACGGCGGGGGCCCACGCCCGCCGGGGCCCCUCUCAAACCUAGUUGUCCAACGUUGACGUCUGAGUGAUUAUACAAACCAAAACAAAACUUUCAACAAUGGAUCUCUUGGCUCCGGCAUCGAUGAAGAACGCAGC